RNAcentral lists this unclassified non-coding RNA (359 nucleotides) under fungal sp. RNAcentral describes it as "partial internal transcribed spacer region". The stretch from base 1 to 46 matches the Rfam family "Eukaryotic small subunit ribosomal RNA", at positions 1786 to 1831 of the family's 1831-position model. Lineage: Eukaryota; Fungi. The record is from RNAcentral.
AAGUCGUAACAAGGUUUCCGUAGGUGAACCUGCGGAAGGAUCAUUAACACGUUUCGUUCCGAACGUUUUUGACCACUUCUUAUUUUCCGUGCACCAUUUCGCGUCCGGCCUCCCAGCCGCCUACCGGGUUUACUCGGUUUGGCCUGUUGGGCGUCUUUGGGAUCCAAAAGGAUGAAGAAAAAUGAAGUAUGAAAAUUUUUUCUCUUUUCUGACCUCCUUUCCCAUCUGGCGUUGCCACCUCACCCAAACCCUUUAAUCUAACUGAUCUGAACUUUUAGUUGAACUAAAACUUUUUCGGAAGUUUUUUUACAACGACUUACAACAAAUAACAACUCUUAACAACGGAUAUCUUGGUUCUC